RNAcentral lists this ribosomal RNA (705 nucleotides) under Pseudoalteromonas sp. WH009047s. RNAcentral's name for it is "bacterial SSU rRNA". It matches the Rfam family "Bacterial small subunit ribosomal RNA", at positions 110 to 817 of the family's 1533-position model. Lineage: Bacteria; Pseudomonadati; Pseudomonadota; Gammaproteobacteria; Alteromonadales; Pseudoalteromonadaceae. The record is from RNAcentral.
GUAAUGCUUGGGAACAUGCCUUGAGGUGGGGGACANCANUUGGAAACGACUGCUAAUACCGCAUAAUGUCUACGGACCAAAGGGGGCUUCGGCUCUCGCCUUUAGAUUGGCCCAAGUGGGAUUAGCUAGUUGGUGAGGUAAUGGCUCACCAAGGCAACGAUCCCUAGCUGGUUUGAGAGGAUGAUCAGCCACACUGGAACUGAGACACGGUCCAGACUCCUACGGGAGGCAGCAGUGGGGAAUAUUGCACAAUGGGCGCAAGCCUGAUGCAGCCAUGCCGCGUGUGUGAAGAAGGCCUUCGGGUUGUAAAGCACUUUCAGUCAGGAGGAAAGNUUAGUAGUUAAUACCUGCUAGNUGUGACGUUACUGACAGAAGAAGCACCGGCUAACUCCGUGCCAGCAGCCGCGGUAAUACGGAGGGUGCNAGCGUUAAUCGGAAUUACUGGGCGUAAAGCGUACGCAGGCGGUUUGUUAAGCGAGAUGUGAAAGCCCCGGGCUCAACCUGGGAACUGCAUUUCGAACUGGCAAACUAGAGUGUGAUAGAGGGUGGUAGAAUUUCANGUGUAGCGGUGAAAUGCGUAGAGAUCUGAAGGAAUACCGAUGGCGAANGCAGCCACCUGGGUCAACACUGACGCUCAUGUACGANAGCGUGNGGAGCANACANGAUUAGAUACCCUGNUAGUCCACGCCGUANACGAUGUCUACU